ACUCCUACGGGAGGCAGCAGUAAGGAAUAUUGGUCAAUGGGCGGAAGCCUGAACCAGCCAUCCCGCGUGCAGGAUGAAGGCCCUAUGGGUUGUAAACUGCUUUAGACUGAGAAGAAACCCCUCAAUGCGUUGGGGGCGUGACGGUAUCAGUAGAAUAAGCACCGGCUAACUCCGUGCCAGCAGCCGCGGUAAUG
RNAcentral lists this ribosomal RNA (194 nucleotides) under uncultured bacterium. RNAcentral describes it as "partial 16S ribosomal RNA". It matches the Rfam family "Bacterial small subunit ribosomal RNA", at positions 335 to 525 of the family's 1533-position model. The record is from RNAcentral.